RNAcentral lists this ribosomal RNA (277 nucleotides) under uncultured bacterium. RNAcentral's name for it is "partial 16S ribosomal RNA". The record is from RNAcentral.
CUGCUGCCUUCCGUAGGAGUCUGGUCCGUGUCUCAGUACCAGUGUGGGGGGCCUUCCUCUCAGAACCCCUACGCAUCGUCGCCUCGGUGGGCCGUUACCCCGCCGACUAGCUAAUGCGCCGCAUGCCCAUCCGUGGCCGGGAUUGCUCCCUUUGGCGGCCUUGGGAUGCCCCAAGGCCGCGUUACGCGGUAUUAGACGGGGUUUCCCCGCUUAUCCCCCUGCCACGGGCAGGUUGCAUACGUGUUACUCACCCGUGCGCCGGUCGCCGGCGGGAGUA